RNAcentral lists this transfer RNA (68 nucleotides) under Anolis sp. SBH266328. Its description in RNAcentral is "tRNA-Trp". It matches the Rfam family "tRNA". Rfam says of the family: Transfer RNA (tRNA) molecules are approximately 80 nucleotides in length. Their secondary structure includes four short double-helical elements and three loops (D, anti-codon, and T loops). Further hydrogen bonds mediate the characteristic L-shaped molecular structure. tRNAs have two regions of fundamental functional importance: the anti-codon, which is responsible for specific mRNA codon recognition, and the 3' end, to which the tRNAs corresponding amino acid is attached (by aminoacyl-tRNA synthetases). tRNAs cope with the degeneracy of the genetic code in two manners: having more than one tRNA (with a specific anti-codon) for a particular amino acid; and 'wobble' base-pairing, i.e. permitting non-standard base-pairing at the 3rd anti-codon position. Lineage: Eukaryota; Metazoa; Chordata; Lepidosauria; Squamata; Anolidae. The record is from RNAcentral.
AAAAACUUAGGAUAAAUAAACCAAGAGCCUUCAAAGCUCAAAAUACGGGUAAACCCCCAUAGUUUUUG